Salmo salar (Atlantic salmon) is the source of this 1028-nucleotide non-coding RNA. The record is from RefSeq and is a predicted model, not a curated record. Lineage: Eukaryota; Metazoa; Chordata; Actinopteri; Salmoniformes; Salmonidae.
ACUUGGGUUGAGGGGGCGGGAGGGGCAGAGGGUCAGCAGGACUGGGAUGGUUUAGUGAUGCAGGUAAGGAGGAGUUCCUCGGGGGAGGAAACACUGGGAAGAGGGAGAGAAAACAAAUAAAAUACCUCCAUUUAUAAAUAAAAAAAGCAAGGGAUACAAUUUCUGUUCAAUCAACUCACAAUAACAGGAGGUGAGUAAGACUUGGUUACAGAUUUAUAGAAUACUAUUCAACUCUUGCUUGUGGCCAAUUUUAUCUAACAGAGCACCACAGUUAACUUUUUCAUUCUGAACAGUCCCACUUUAACUUAUGAUGCAUGUUAUUGCCUUGUGUAAUACCUUGCAUAACUUGACUACUUCUCUCCACACAGUUCCCACAGUCCUUUGCAGUAGACGUUCCUCUACUGAAACUGUGCAGCAUGAAUGCAGACUUCUCCUGGGACAACAGGGAUGUUGGCUCCCUCCGGUGGUUGCUGUGGGGAGCAGCGCUGCGGCUGCUGGAUCUUCUCAUCUGUCUCACAGCGUCUGUGCUGCGGAUGCCGGCUCUGGAGGGCUGAGUCACACGAGUCUGAGUUAUCUGGGUCCUCUCCCAGGGAGCAGGACCUGGAGCAAAAGAUGAGGCCCCCACGUGGGAGGAAGGGCCGCCCCAGCAAGGGGAGCCGACAGCGGGCACAGCAGAAACACGACUUGGCAGCAUGCCAGUGCUGGCCCUCAUAGGUCAUUUGCCCCUGGUCUAUACCUGGAAGACAAAGCGGGUCUAAGAAAAUUGUCUGUGUGUGUCACAGUACUCUGCAUAGAGGGACUCAUAGCAGGAGCAGCAGUACGGCCGGCACGCUCUCAUGAUGUACCGCUGUCCCCCCAACGCUGCUUCACACUCAAAACAACAGAAGUGCUUCAUGUGCCAGUGUCGGCCCUCUGCCUCCGUACACUCAUCAGCUAGAAUGAUCUGCAUUUCAGAAAGAGAGAAGGAGAGCGGGAGAGAGAGAGAGAGAGAGAGAGAGAGAGAGCAAGAGAGUGAUUGGAAAAAAGGG